CGAGCGCACCCUUAUCCUUGUUUGCCAGCGAGUAAUGUCGGGAACUCCAGGGAGACUGCCGGUGAUAAACCGGAGGAAGGUGGGGACGACGUCAAGUCAUCAUGGCCCUUACGAGUAGGGCUACACACGUGCUACAAUGGCGCAUACAGAGGGCGGCCAACUUGCGAAAGUGAGCGAAUCCCAAAAAGUGCGUCGUAGUCCGGAUUGGAGUCUGCAACUCGACUCCAUGAAGUCGGAAUCGCUAGUAAUCGUGGAUCAGAAUGCCACGGUGAAUACGUUCCCGGGCCUU
Molecule: ribosomal RNA, 289 nt
Filed under: uncultured Vibrio sp.
Lineage: Bacteria; Pseudomonadati; Pseudomonadota; Gammaproteobacteria; Vibrionales; Vibrionaceae
Description: partial 16S ribosomal RNA
Rfam family: Bacterial small subunit ribosomal RNA
Source: RNAcentral